UGAGUAACGCGUGAGGAACCUGCCUUUCAGUGGGGGACAACAGUUGGAAACGACUGCUAAUACCGCAUAAUACUUUUUGGGGACAUCCCUGAAAAGUCAAAGCUUUAUGUGCUGAAAGAUGGCCUCGCGUCUGAUUAGCUUGUUGGCGGGGUAACGGCCCACCAAGGCGACGAUCAGUAGCCGGUCUGAGAGGAUGAACGGCCACAUUGGGACUGAGAUACGGCCCAGACUCCUACGGGAGGCAGCAGUGGGGAAUAUUGGGCAAUGGGGGAAACCCUGACCCAGCAACGCCGCGUGAAGGAAGAAGGCCCUCGGGUUGUAAACUUCUUUUACCAGGGACGAAGGACGUGACGGUACCUGGAGAAAAAGCAACGGCUAACUACGUGCCAGCAGCCGCGGUAAUACGUAGGUUGCAAGCGUUGUCCGGAUUUACUGGGUGUAAAGGGCGUGUAGGCGGAGAUGCAAGUUGGGAGUGAAAUCCCGGGGCUCAACCCCGGAACUGCUUUCAAAACUGUAUCCCUUGAGUAUCGGAGAGGCAAGCGGAAUUCCUAGUGUAGCGGUGAAAUGCGUAGAUAUUAGGAGGAACACCAGUGGCGAAGGCGGCUUGCUGGACGACAACUGACGCUGAGGCGCGAAAGCGUGGGGAGCAAACAGGAUUAGAUACCCUGGUAGUCCACGCUGUAAACGAUGAAUACUAGGUGUGGGAGGACUGACCCCUUCCGUGCCGCAGUUAACACAAUAAGUAUUCCACCUGGGGAGUACGACCGCAAGGUUGAAACUCAAAGGAAUUGACGGGGGCCCGCACAAGCAGUGGAUUAUGUGGUUUAAUUCGACGCAACGCGAAAGAACCUUACCAGGACUUGACAUCCAACUAACGAAGCA
This 882-nucleotide ribosomal RNA is filed under the name uncultured bacterium. RNAcentral's name for it is "bacterial SSU rRNA". It matches the Rfam family "Bacterial small subunit ribosomal RNA", at positions 107 to 1002 of the family's 1533-position model. The record is from RNAcentral.